CCUACGGGAGGCAGCAGUGGGGAAUAUUGGGCAAUGGGCGCAAGCCUGACCCAGCAACGCCGCGUGAAGGAAGAAGGCUUUCGGGUUGUAAACUUCUUUUAAGAGGGAAGAGCAGAAGACGGUACCUCUUGAAUAAGCCACGGCUAACUAAGUGCCAGCAGCCACGGUAAUACGUAGGUGGCAGGUGUUAUCCGGAUUUACUGGGUGUAACGGGCGUGCAGCCGGGACUACAAGUCAGAUGUGAAAUCCCGCGGCUCAACCGCGGAACUGCAUUUGAAACUGGUGUUCUUGAGUAGCGGAGAGGUAAGUGGAAUUCCGAGUGUAGCGGUGAAAUGCGUAGAUAUUAGGAAGAACACCAGUGGCGAAGGCAGCUUACUGGACUGUAACUGACGUUGAGGCACGAAAGCGUGGGGAGCAAACAGGAUUAGAUACCCGUGUAGUC
Molecule: ribosomal RNA, 442 nt
Filed under: uncultured bacterium
Lineage: Bacteria
Description: partial 16S ribosomal RNA
Rfam family: Bacterial small subunit ribosomal RNA
Source: RNAcentral